Molecule: ribosomal RNA, 250 nt
Filed under: uncultured bacterium
Lineage: Bacteria
Description: partial 16S ribosomal RNA
Rfam family: Bacterial small subunit ribosomal RNA
Source: RNAcentral
UACGGAGGGGACUAGCGUUGUUCGGAAUUACUGGGCGUAAAGCGCACGUAGGCGGCUUUUUAAGUCAGGGUGAAAUCCUGGAGCUCAACUCCAGAACUGCCUUUGAUACUGGGAAGCUUGAGUCCGGAAGAGGUGAGUGGAACUCCGAGUGUAGAGGUGAAAUUCGUAGAUAUUCGGAAGAACACCAGUGGCGAAGGCGGCUCACUGGUCCGGUACUGACGCUGAGGUGCGAAAGCGUGGGAGCAACAGG